Acipenser ruthenus (sterlet) is the source of this 2793-nucleotide long non-coding RNA. RefSeq lists it as uncharacterized. The transcript has 3 exons. The record is from RefSeq and is a predicted model, not a curated record. Lineage: Eukaryota; Metazoa; Chordata; Actinopteri; Acipenseriformes; Acipenseridae.
UGCUUUGAUUGUAAUUCCUCACUCCCACUCAUGCACAUUCGCUGAAACAAACCAUAAAUAAAUAAAUAAACAAAUAAAUUGAAAAGGAUAUCUGUAGAUACAGCUCGCAGCCAAUGCAAUUAACUUUGGACGAAAUGUGUAUGGAAUAUUUGUAAGCUAAGUUUCUACGAAACUAAUCAGUCUACGGUACCUGCACGACCGCCAGGGUAUUUUUCAACAAAGAUGCCAGGAAACAGUGUUACUGCAGAUAUUCUUCUAGCCUUUGUAACUUUGGCUUGUGUUAAAGGUCAAAGCACCGAUCCACCAGCUCUAUCAACGAAUAGAGGACUGCAUUCCGUUCUGGAGAACACUGUGUCACCUGCAUUUGGGGCAACUGUGAUAAUAAUUAUAACUGUCAUUGUAUCAGGUAGUGCCUACCUGUGUUUUCUGAAAUAUAUUUGUUCUGGAUGUUGCAAAUCGACACAGGUUGUGCCUGUGACAAGAAUGGACCCAAACAAAUCAGAAGAACAAGUAUAGCUUUUUUCUGUUCUGCAGAUUCCUAAUGAAGCUGCAAUAAUUCUUUGAUUUUUUGUUUGUUUCUUUAUAAGCAUUUAUUGUCUUGUUCUUCAGUUCUGGAGCAGACUCAUCUGUGAAGUUUUGAGUAGAACUGGCAACCUAAAGUCAGGGCCAGAUUAAAUGACAAUAUUUUGGCGGCCCUAUGCACAAUAGCUUGUGAAACGGUGUUGUAAUUCACAGCUUGUAGGAAAAGUGUAUCUGCAAGGAAAGCUUUCAGUUCUACGUCAGAUGCAUGUUUACCAUUUAGACCAUUGCAAAACAAAUACAAUGUGUAACCCAUACUGAUCUUGGGCAUCGGUCGACCACUGACAAGCAACCAAUUUACCAAUUCCAUAAUCUCCUGCUUGUGAUACUCAGCAACUUUAGGUAAGUAUUCAUGUCUCAGCUGGGCUGAUAAAGGAAUCGCUCCACCAUUUGCUACACUCAGUCUGAAGAAUUUACAUUGUCCAAUUUUUCAAGAGGGAUAUUUGCGCAAACAAACGUCUCUGGCAGGUCAAAAUGGAAUGUGUUCCGUGCUUGAGGGUUUUCAGUGGACUUUUGGAACAUGGAAGUCACCGUUUUUUGUUUCUUUGUAAGUAAAGCAGUCACAGUACUGCUCUGGAUUUCCACCUUUCUCUUUCAGUGAAUACUUGAAUCUAAACGCCUGUCAACAGAUGAUUUUCAGUAGUGAGCUACAGUAACGUUGCAGGACAUACAGAAGAGCUUACCUCCACCGCUGUAUAAAACUCCUGCUGGAUACUGCUUUACGUGAUCUGCUGCAGACACUUUUUUAGAGACAUCCAUUUUCUUGGUUACAGUGUGUAGUGUUUUAAUUUCCCGCCUAGAUUGCAUAUACUGUAGUCACAUGACAUAAUCACUACACAGCACUGUGUGCAUGGCGAAUAUUACACACAGACACAUAGCAGAUCUGUACAGUUUAGUUAAUGUGAUUUUUUUGGGAUGAAAUAAAAAGAAUUAUGAAAUAAUGUAUCUUCUUUCUUAAGAAUAUUGAAAAAAUCACGGUAUUGGGCUAAUUUCAUGAUUUCCGCACAGUAUAUAAAGGGAGAGAAACAAACCCUAUGGACUUAAACCCUUCCUGCCAGCUGCAGAAUGGUAGACUCCCGCAUUAUACACAUUUACCUUUACAAGACAGGUUUUUAAAGUGGCUCUAAAACUGAAAUAAAUGAAUGCGUAAAUUGACCAUGUUUCAUACAUUUUAUCCUGCAGUCUGACCCCUAGGACUAGGGAUGGAUCUCUCCUAGGAGGUAGAGGGUGUGGAGCAUUUGGUAUUGUACAUUAGCAGGAAGCUGCUUGCGUGAGAGACUCAGAGCAGGUAUGCUAUAAUCGAGAUGGAAUGCCUAGCUGUCAUAAAAUAAAAGAAAUGAACCGAAAGCAAGUUUCUGUGCUCCUCUCUUCCUGUGUGUGUGUGUGGGCCCGGCCGCCCACAUGCACGUUUUGUAAAAUGUACCAAAAACGUCGACCUCGUGUGAGCCCCAAUUCUGCUGGGGGUUCUACGCUACAGUGUAAUUUGCGUAUAGGUUAAUCCAGCCCUGCCUAAAGAGACAAAAAGGCAAGGCUCUGCUAUGGAGCUAUUGGAUCCCUGUAGCUAAUCCUGGGGCUCAGCUCAAGGUCACUCUAUUAACUUGUAAGGUUUUAUAUAAAUUGUAAUAAUUUUAUGUGCCCCUUUAAAUUGUAAAGAAGUGAGAAAUCAUUGAAAUUCUGUCUCUGAACAUUCUGUGAUUUUCCUGUGUUUAAUGUAAGCUCUGAAUCAACACAGGGUCAAUGAACUUAAAAUCAAGCUGUAUAUAGCUUGUUUACAUCAGCAGUUUGCAAUCACCAGCCUUGUCGUUCAGUCUUGUGAUGCAUCGAUAUGGCGCUUUGCCGUCUGUGAGAAUUGAGCAAAACUCAUAUCAUAUCAAGUUGUUCUAAGUGUAACUUCUUGUUAUCUGGGUUUCUGCUGACCUCGGUGAAGUGAAGAAGAAACGCAGAUGUUAACUGUUAAUGUGCUUUGUCUUACACCAUGCAUCAUGCUAGGGAAAUAAGACCAAGGAAAUUACAUAAGCUAGCUGUAUAUCUGUGCUGUACAAAGUAAUUUCAGGGCUCAGAAAACUACAUCUACACGCCUGCUUGGACAUCUCUGUGUCAGGGCAGCUCAGAAUACCAUCAGCUGAUGCCUUGUGUAUGUAUCAUGAAUGUGUAUGUGUAUGUAUGUGUUUUGUUGUGUUGAUUUUCUUUGUUCCUGAAUAAACUCUCUUGAUU